ACCUUCGGGCCUCUUGCCAUCGGAUGUGCCCAGAUGGGAUUAGCUAGUAGGUGGGGUAAAGGCUCACCUAGGCGACGAUCCCUAGCUGGUCUGAGAGGAUGACCAGCCACACUGGAACUGAGACACGGUCCAGACUCCUACGGGAGGCAGCAGUGGGGAAUAUUGCACAAUGGGCGCAAGCCUGAUGCAGCCAUGCCGCGUGUAUGAAGAAGGCCUUCGGGUUGUA
This 226-nucleotide ribosomal RNA is filed under the name Escherichia coli. RNAcentral describes it as "partial 16S ribosomal RNA". It matches the Rfam family "Bacterial small subunit ribosomal RNA", at positions 199 to 427 of the family's 1533-position model. Lineage: Bacteria; Pseudomonadati; Pseudomonadota; Gammaproteobacteria; Enterobacterales; Enterobacteriaceae. The record is from RNAcentral.